CCACGCCCUCGCUCCCCAAUUAUGCUCGUUGAAUCCCUUCGUUCAGGAUAGCGAGGUAAUUCGUGGUUUGCUGUGCGUGAAGAACGUCCCGCAGUUCUCGAUGGGAGAGAGAAUGGUUCUAAAGCGCCUCUUGCCUGGUUCUUUUCAUGCACAGAACAGAAUUAGAAAUGUUAAUUAUCUAAAAAGGAAAAGAUAGACAGAAGGAAACACGAAGAAAUUCACAUAAUAUAGAAUCAGGUUCUUGUCCUCUCGCUUGGUUGCUAUUCGCGAUCCCACUGCUCCACGUUGGACUUUCAUGCG
RNAcentral lists this long non-coding RNA (300 nucleotides) under Physcomitrium patens. Its description in RNAcentral is "long non-coding RNA (PPAT_LNC002937)". Lineage: Eukaryota; Viridiplantae; Streptophyta; Bryopsida; Funariales; Funariaceae. The record is from RNAcentral.